UUUUAUUGACUUUUUUGUCUAGGUUUUGUUCCAUUUGGUUCCAUUCUAGGUGUCUAGGAUAUCCAGCCUCAAGUUUGUGGUCAUCCAAGCAAUGUCAGGGGUGGGCUUCCUCCAGUGCCAUAGGACUUAAGCUGGAUUGCUCAUUGGCUGGCCAUUCUGCUGAUUUCUGCUAGACCUUUAACACAGCACAUCUUGUAGAUGGAACAAAUUGACCGUGACCUGAGAUUGUAUAAGGGAAAUCAGUUCCUGAAGGGGCUAUUUAACCCAUUAGGAUGGCUUGACUAUCUUCAUUUGAGCUCCCCAUAAAAGCUUGGGAACAGAGGAGGGAGAGAACUAGGAUAAGGAAAGCUGUUUGAACUCAGUUCACUGGGCCAGAUAGGACGAUGUUCACAGAGGCGAUAGAAAAACUGAGCCAGUGGGGACUUUAAAGCUGUUGAGAGCUUUAGCAGCUUUACUGAGUGCUUUGAUGGGCCAAGAUCUUUAUAAAGCAGGACAGACUUCUCCAGAUCUCCGUGACUUAGACCAGCAUCUAAAGAGGUUCCAUGAAAUGAAAGAGCAACCUAGAGAAGAGAUGAAAAAGACAAAGGAGAAGAAGACGUCUUCUGGGUUACUCGAAGAUAAAUGUGGCUGGAUGUGGUCAGGCUGAUAAUUAUCCCCUCUCCCAGAGUAAGGGGGGGUACAUUUUCCUAUAGCAUAAGUAUUUUUCUAAGGGUGGAGAUUGUUUACCCAGCCAGGAACUCCGCUCAAGACAAGAUGUAGUGGAUGAAGAAGCAACAGCUCCACCUCCGGCUCCGGCUCCGACUCCAGCUCCAGCUGCAGCCACAGUUUGAACUCAGGGCUGCUCUCACCCACGGAGACCGCAGAUGGCCUGAUCAUUAGAGAAACCACAAUAUUGAAACCACCUACUAUUAAUGGGUUUGAUGUUAAUCUGUAUCUUUAAACAUAAUAACACAUGUUUUACUUUUGAAAUUCUGCACUUCAAAGUUUGGUGCAUAUAUGUUUAUAAUAUUAUUUGUCUUCUUGGUUAACAGCUCCCUUGGUUAGAAUAAAGUGGCCUCUUUAUCGCUUCUGAUUAGUUUUAUUUUUAGCUCUAUUUACCAAAUGCCAGGGAAGCAGCACUUGCCUGCUUCCUGGUCCCAUUUUAUUGGAAGGUUUUUAAUCCAUUCUUUAUCUACAAGGCAGCAUGUAUUUUUAAAGUCAUGAUGUGUUUUUUUGCAGAGAGCAGGAACAUUUCUUGAUCCACUCAGUCAGAUAUUGUUUUUUCAUUGAACAAUUGAGGAUUUCGAUAUUUGAAGUUAUUAUUGAAGCCUAUGCUAAUUGUUGUCUUAGUAUUGUUAUUUGUUUCCUUGGUGGUGCCUUGUGUUUUAAUAAUUAUGGCUAUGGAUUUCUUUCUACAAACUCUCUGCUAUGCUUAUUCCUCUUGUCAGGCCUAAAUAUUGCUUCUUAUAUUCUCUUUUGGUUUAAUUUGUUUCUAAAUUUUUGUUUUUGUUUUGUUUUGUUGGCAAUGUAUAGCAUGGAAUAUUUUUCUUUCUCUUUCAAUAGUUAUCAGACAGUUUUUCUGGAUCUAUUAGUCUAUUAGCCAUAGACUAAGUUUAAGGCUUGGAAUGCAUUGUUCCACAUUCUUCUGGCUUUCAAUAUUUCUGUUGAGAAAUCAUCUGUUGUUCCGAUGACUUCUCCUUUGUAUGUGGCUUGCAGUUUUUCUCUUCCUUUUUCAAUAUAUUUUCUUUGUUAUGUAUACUUUGUGUUUUAACUAUGAUAUGCCACAUGGAUUUAUUUCCUGUCUAUUUGAUGUUCUGUUCACUUUUUUAUCUAUAUAGGUGUGUUUUUCCUCAAAUUGGGAAAGUUUACAAAUGUUCUUGUUGAAGAUCUGGUCUAUGUUAUUGAUGUGGGAUUUUUCUCUUUCAUCUAUGCCCUUAAUUUGUAAAUUUUAUUGUUUUCAUGGUAUGCCACAUUUCCCAUAUUUUCUUUUCCUGUUUUUUUCCAUAUUAUUUGCUUAUUUGGUUUUGUCUCUCCUUUAUCUUUGAACCCUGAUGUCCUAUUUUCUGUUUGAUUCAUUCCACUUGUAAGACUUUCCUUUGAGUUUUCUAGCUGAUUGACUGGGUUUUUCAAUUCCGUCUUUAUUUCAGUUUGAUUCAUCUUCAAUGUUUUUUCUAUAUCCUUAUACUGAAUUCUGACCUCUAGUGUUGGAUUGUCCUUUUUAUUUCUAGUAGCCUUAUGUUUGUAUUUUUGGGGCAUCAUUUGGGUCUUUUUUUUUUCUUUAAGCUAUUUCUUCUAAGUUUUGUGUCCUGGGUUCAUCUAGUUGUUUAUCAUGGGUAAACAUUUGCAAAGGACUUGUAGUAUUGAGAGAGGAGAUGAUGACUUGAUCUUUUGUGUUGUUUAUGAGAUCUGGGCUUGUUGACUUCUUUCAUUAGUUCUAAGUCUUAGGUAUAGAACAGAUUAAGGCACAAUAGAGGAUUGUGUUGGGGGGCUAGAGGAUAGAAAUAUUUUUAUUGGUGGAAUUUACUCAGGUGGAUAGAGGAGUCUGGGAUUGUGUAUACAAUUUGUAUCCUGGUCCAAUCCUGGAGUAUAAAAGUAGACCUGCUGGAUGGAAUGGCGUGAUAUGGUAUGAGAGAAGCCCUUCAAUUGAGAAUUGGAAGGGAGGUUCCUGGAUGAACUCAAGAGAUCAUUUGUGGUCAGGCAAGGGUGGCUAGAUUGCUAUAAACUUUAGAUGUGUGGGCUAUCUCUGCUGUGUCAUGGGGAGUUCAUAAAUAGGUAGGGUGAGAAACCUCACUGUGUUAUACAUUGGAGAAAGACUUGGGCUCUAUGGCUGGUGGGAAGUAUGGCUGAAAUCCAGAAAGGAUCUGGGGUUGGUGACAGGUUGUAUGGGUAAGAAGGAUAUGGAUGAUCUGUCUGGGUGGUGAGACUGGCUGUGAUGCAAAAGAUACCCAUAGUUGUGGGACAUAACCUGGAAGAAGUCUAGAUGUUCAUUGCAGUGUAGACAGGGAUGAUCAGAUUAGUCCAGGAUACUAGAUAUGUGGCAUAGGCUAGAUCUGGUGGGUUGAGAAAGUGUGGGUAGGGAGAUCAGGGAGACCCACUGGGCCACAUCCUGGAAAAGAAAUGGGGGUUCUGGCUGGUUAGAAAUGUUGGAUGUGACACUUGCAAUAGACUUUAAGGGGAGAAACUUAUGAGAUACCUGUAGGUCAUUGAGAGUAUGACCUCAGGAAAGUGACUGCUCCCCAGAGAGAGCUAUACCAAAGUUACUUAAUGUAAAAACCCAAACGUGAGCACUUCAUCCUCUCUGUCUUCUGUUUAUAAAAGUAAGUGAGCUAUGCUCCUUGUAAACACUCCC
Molecule: long non-coding RNA, 3328 nt
Filed under: Cricetulus griseus (Chinese hamster)
Lineage: Eukaryota; Metazoa; Chordata; Mammalia; Rodentia; Cricetidae
Description: lncRNA (ENSCGRG00015040928.1)
Source: RNAcentral